RNAcentral lists this transfer RNA (71 nucleotides) under Marmota monax (woodchuck). RNAcentral describes it as "tRNA.Ala". Lineage: Eukaryota; Metazoa; Chordata; Mammalia; Rodentia; Sciuridae. The record is from RNAcentral.
GGGUGUGUACUUCAGUGGUAGAGGGCCCAUCUGGCAUGCAUGAAUCUCUGGGUUCAAUCCCCAGCAUCUCA